CCCAUAACUACGGGAUAACCCGUUGAAAGACGGCCUAAUACCGUAUGAUAUCGUUUGCUGACAUCAAAUAAACGAUUAAAGGUUUAGCGGUUAUGGAUGGGGAUGCGUCUGAUUAGCUUGUUGGCGGGGUAACGGCCCACCAAGGCUACGAUCAGUAGGGGUUCUGAGAGGAAGGUCCCCACAUUGGAACUGAGACACGGUCUAAACUCCUACGGGAGGCAGCAGUGAGGAAUAUUGGUCAGUGGGCGAGAGCCUGAACCAGCCAAGUAGCGUGCAGGAAGACGGCCCUAUGGGUUGUAAACUGCUUUUAUGUGGGGAUAAAGUGCGUGACGUGUCAUGCAUUGCAGGUACCACAUGAAUAAGGACCGGCUAAUUCCGUGCCAGCAGCCGCGGUAAAU
This 398-nucleotide ribosomal RNA is filed under the name uncultured Prevotella sp. RNAcentral's name for it is "bacterial SSU rRNA". It matches the Rfam family "Bacterial small subunit ribosomal RNA", at positions 129 to 525 of the family's 1533-position model. The record is from RNAcentral. Lineage: Bacteria; Pseudomonadati; Bacteroidota; Bacteroidia; Bacteroidales; Prevotellaceae.